This 315-nucleotide ribosomal RNA is filed under the name uncultured delta proteobacterium. Its description in RNAcentral is "bacterial SSU rRNA". It matches the Rfam family "Bacterial small subunit ribosomal RNA", at positions 30 to 346 of the family's 1533-position model. The record is from RNAcentral. Lineage: Bacteria; Deltaproteobacteria.
UUGAACGCUGGCGGCGUGCCUAACACAUGCAAGUCGAGCGAGAAAGUCUCUUCGGAGAUGAGUAGAGCGGCGCACGGGUGAGUAACGCGUGGAUAAUCUGCCUAUUGGUUCGGGAUAACAGUUGGAAACGACUGCUAAUACCGGAUAGUCUGGCAACGGUAAAGGGGCCUCUUCUUGAAAGCUCUCGCCAGUAGAUGAGUCCGCGUUGCAUUAGCUAGACGGUGGGUAACGGCCUACCGUGGCAACGAUGCAUAGCCGGUUUGAGAGGAUGAUCGGCCACACUGGGACUGGAACACGGCCCAGACUCCUACGGGA